This 2438-nucleotide long non-coding RNA is filed under the name Marmota monax (woodchuck). Lineage: Eukaryota; Metazoa; Chordata; Mammalia; Rodentia; Sciuridae. The record is from RNAcentral.
GGCUGUAGGCCUGAGUCUAAGCAACUCCAUUUUAAAAACUCACCAGGAACAUCCACAGAGCCCUCCAGUAUGGCCUCCAACAAGUUACUUCUCCUCACCCUGUUAAAGAGAGUGAAGCUCCUGACAGGCUGUCCUUGCCUAAUAAGAGGAAAAAGCGAGAAGAUCAAGGGUGGAGACCAUCAGACCAGAUGUUUCUGACCUCAAGGUAAAUAAUGUCAUGGAGAAAUUCGGUGGUAGCUGAUAAGGAUUGAAAGGGGGGUCAAAAAAGCCCCCAAAUUUAGUAUAAAUAAUAGACCUGAUGAACAGGGAUUCAGCCAGCAGAAACAAGGAUGCACUUGAGCUGGAGAGCCUGAUGAGGACCUGGACUGACAUCCUAUCAUUUGUCAUCAUUUCCUGAUCCUCUGCAUGAUCCUCACUGCUCUCAAACUCUACUGGCUCAUCUGGACCUUGAUGAGAGCCAUAACNAUAUAUAUAUUUUUUUUUUUUUUCAAUAUGCUACCACAGUAAAAUAACAUUUCUUUUUAUUAUAUCUUACAACUUCCUAUCAUUCCACAGAUAUCUCAAAACAAAGAACUUAAUUUUUAAAAAUUGUAUGGCUUUUUUCCCCUUCUGUUAAUUUUUUCUUUGGGAAUUAUUAUUAAUUUUAGAUCACCAUCUGUCUUAAUAUGCUCUUUGUUUUAUUAUUUAAUAUAUUUAUACAUAUUUUAAAGAAUAAAACUUUAUCUUCUUUUCACUUCUCUAGUGAUAAAUUAUCUAUUCACUACCACCAAAAUUUAAAUAUAUUCAGUCACUUAUAGCUAACCUUUAUUUAUUUUUGUAAGUUCUUUUUCUCUGUAUUGUGUAUUAUUUUCACGUAGGCAAUGAACAUUUAAUGUUCAUCAAAGUAAUGCCAUGAAGUGAACUUUAAAGUGUAUAAAUAUUUACUUCAACCAGAAAGAGGAAAGUCAGGCUCUCCAUUCCUGACUUGGAGUGAAGUAGAACUUUAGAUAGGUUUUUUAGAUAACCAGGUUUUUAUUUCUGUAUUACAGACACUUUUAGUUUUAAAUUCCUAGUGUCUCUACAUUUAAUUUUCAUAUCCCCUUUGGCCCCUCUUGGCUGAACUUUAGGUAUUGAGAGAAUUAAUAUUUGCGCUAGCCUUCAUGGGGAAAAGCUGACAACAAGAGGAUUACAGGAGGAUUUAUUUUUUUAUGGGUGCCCUUCAUGUCCAUUAGGUCAUCUAACACAAAAUAAAAUUGGAGAAAAGAGAACAGAUUUUGAUUUAAUCCAGAUGGCAAUUCGUAAGGAUUGGUAGGUUAGAAGGAAAAAAAGCUAUGAUACAAUUGAAAAUUCAAGUGAAGAUAUUUUAGAAAUAGUUUAAACACAAAGUAAUCUAGCAAAUGUGGCCAAGAAGUCCUAUAAAUAGAAGAAUCCAAAAAAAAAAAAAAAAAAAUUGUGAAAAGCCAGCUUGGAAAUGGAGAAGUGGAAAGCAUGGGGGAGAGAAAAAGAAGAAAAAUCAAAGAACAGAAUUUCUGGAUUUUUUUUUUUUUUUGGGGGGAGGAUACCAGGGAAUUAAACUCAGGAGCACUCAACCACUGAACCACUUCCCCAUCCCCAGCACUAUUUUUGUAUUUUAUUUAGAGAUAGGGUGUGAGGAUGGCUGUAGGCCUGAGUCUAAGCAACUCCAUUUUAAAAACUCACCAGGAACAUCCACAGAGCCCUCCAGUAUGGCCUCCAACAAGUUACUUCUCCUCACCCUGUUAAAGAGAGUGAAGCUCCUGACAGGCUGUCCUUGCCUAAUAAGAGGAAAAAGCGAGAAGAUCAAGGGUGGAGACCAUCAGACCAGAUGUUUCUGACCUCAAGGUAAAUAAUGUCAUGGAGAAAUUCGGUGGUAGCUGAUAAGGAUUGAAAGGGGGGUCAAAAAAGCCCCCAAAUUUAGUAUAAAUAAUAGACCUGAUGAACAGGGAUUCAGCCAGCAGAAACAAGGAUGCACUUGAGCUGGAGAGCCUGAUGAGGACCUGGACUGACAUCCUAUCAUUUGUCAUCAUUUCCUGAUCCUCUGCAUGAUCCUCACUGCUCUCAAACUCUACUGGCUCAUCUGGACCUUGAUGAGAGCCAUAACUUCUCCCAAUGACCCUCUUCUCAACCAGUCAUCCACUCCAUGAAAGGAGAAGCCUGCCUUGGUUCAGGACCUGAUCACCAUGGUCUGGGUGAGUGUGCAUCUACUGGACAUAAAGCCUAAGGAUUAAGACUUUUGAACUUAGCACACAGAGGGAAUGUCUGCCAUUAGCCUGUCAUGAUUAAGUGUGUUUGCAGUGCUUAGAAUUAAUCUAGAAUUGUUUGCUGUGAAUUGAUUAUGUCUAUUGCAAUGCCUAGCAUUAAAGGAUUGUCAUUUUCUUGAUUAAGAACCGAUAGAGUAAAAUUGUAUUGAGUAAUUUGAGUGAAUAAAGUAUUGAAAGGAG